Molecule: ribosomal RNA, 502 nt
Filed under: uncultured bacterium
Lineage: Bacteria
Description: partial 16S ribosomal RNA
Rfam family: Bacterial small subunit ribosomal RNA
Source: RNAcentral
GACGAACGCUGGCGGCGUGCUUAACACAUGCAAGUCGAACGGUGAAGGGGUCUGCUUUUGUGGGCCCUGGCUGAGUGGCGAGCGGGUGAGUCACACGUGAGUAAUCUCCCCCCUUCUUCUGUAUAACCGCAUGAAAGUGUGGCUAAUACGGGAUAUUCUGGGUCUGUCGCAUGCUGGGUUUGGAUAAGAUUGUGCCUUUGGGUGUAUUUGGUGGGGGAUGGGCUCGCGGCCUAUUGGCUGGUUGGUGGGGGGAUGGCCUAGCAUGGAGGUGAACGGUAGCCGAAGUGGGAGGGUGAACGGUCACACUGGAGCUGGGACACGGACCCUGCUCCUACGGGACGCAGCAGAGGGGAAUGUUACGCAAUGGGGGCGAACCUGAUGCAGCGACGCCGCGUGUGAGAGGGCGGCGUUCGGGUUGUAAACCUCUUUCGCGAGUGAAGAAGGCCUGCUACCUGUGAGUGGGUUGACGGUACCUGGAGAAGAAGCGCCGGCUAACUACGUG